GCUUAGUGAGGUCUCCGGAUUGGCUUUGGGGAGCCGGCAACGGCACUCUAUUGCUGAGAGGCUGAUCAAGCUUGGUCAUUUAGAGGAAGUAAAAGUCGUAACAAGGUUUCCGUAGGUGAACCUGCGGAAGGAUCAUUAUUGAAUAUUCUUGAUGGGUUGUAGCUGGCUCUUCGGAGCAUGUGCACGCCUGUCUUGACUUUAUUCAUCCACCUGUGCACCUUUUGUAGUCUUGGGGGUUCAGAGCAGUCGACCGUCGGACGGACUGUCCGGAUGUGAGGAAUGCCGAGUGCGGAAGCAUGCGGCUCUCUUCAAAAUGACUUGCAAAGCUUCCCUCGAGUACUACGUAUUCAUACACCACGUCGUAUGUUGUAGAAUGUGAUCAAUGGGCUUAUGUGCCUAUAAUAAUCAUAUACAACUUUCAGCAACGGAUCUCUUGGCUCUCGCAUCGAUGAAGAACGCAGCGAAAUGCGAUAAGUAAUGUGAAUUGCAGAAUUCAGUGAAUCAUCGAAUCUUUGAACGCACCUUGCGCUCCUUGGUAUUCCGAGGAGCAUGCCUGUUUGAGUGUCAUUAAAUUCUCAACCUCACCCAUUUUUGUAAUGAAAGAGUGUGUGUAGGCUUGGAUGUGGAGGCUUUGCAGGUCCGCCAUACCGGUGGUCUGCUCCUCUGAAAUGUAUUAGUGGGUUGUUCCCCUAAUCUAUUGGUGUGAUAAUUAUCUACGCCGUGGAUCAGUUGGUAACGAUAGACCUGCUUCUAACCGCCCGACUCGGACAACAUUUGACAUUUUUGACCUCAAAUCAGGUAAGACUACCCGCUGAACUUAAGCAUAUCAAUAAGCGGAGGAAAAGAAACUAACAAGGAUUCCCCUAGUAACUGCGAGUGAAGCGGGAAAAGCUCAAAUUUAAAAUCUGGUAGUCUUUGGCUGCCCGAGUUGUAAUCUAGAGAAGUGUUACCCGUGCUGGACCGUGUACAAGUCUCCUGGAAUGGAGCGUCAUAGAGG
This 997-nucleotide ribosomal RNA is filed under the name uncultured fungus. RNAcentral describes it as "eukaryotic LSU rRNA". The stretch from base 785 to 997 matches the Rfam family "Eukaryotic large subunit ribosomal RNA", at positions 1 to 211 of the family's 3401-position model. Lineage: Eukaryota; Fungi. The record is from RNAcentral.